AAAUGCGGCUGCCCCUGAACUGAUUCUCUCUUGGGUCAGGUAGCGCAAGCUACAUCAGGGUCAUUUACAAGAGAUAAGAUCAACUCGUGUCACGAGGGUUGAUACGAAAAUUUAGUGACUCGCUAAUGCAAAGCGUGUCGAUUCGCGUUGCCUUGGUUAAAUUAAAUAAUUAGACUAAGUAUGUAGAACUUGUUGUAGCGUGUUUGCGGACGCGGGUUCGAUUCCCGCCGACUCCACCA
This 239-nucleotide transfer-messenger RNA is filed under the name Burkholderiaceae bacterium. Its description in RNAcentral is "partial transfer-messenger RNA". It matches the Rfam family "transfer-messenger RNA", at positions 127 to 374 of the family's 374-position model. From Rfam's summary of the family: Bacterial tmRNA, also known as 10Sa RNA or SsrA, is named for its dual tRNA and mRNA-like properties. The record is from RNAcentral. Lineage: Bacteria; Pseudomonadati; Pseudomonadota; Betaproteobacteria; Burkholderiales; Burkholderiaceae.